UGAGGAAUAUUGGUCAAUGGACGCAAGUCUUAACCAGCCAAGUAGCGUGCAGGAUGACGGCCCUAUGGGUUGUAAACUGCUUUUAUAUGGGGAUAAAGUGGGGAACGUGUUCCCUUUUGCAGGUACCAUAUGAAUAAGGACCGGCUAAUUCCGUGCCAGCAGCCGCGGUAAUACGGAAGGUUCGGGCGUUAUCCGGAUUUAUUGGGUUUAAAGGGAGCGUAGGCCGUUUGGUAAGCGUGUUGUGAAAUGUAGGAGCUCAACUUCUAGAUUGCAGCGCGAACUGUCAGACUUGAGUGCGCACAACGUAGGCGGAAUUCAUGGUGUAGCGGUGAAAUGCUUAGAUAUCAUGACGAACUCCGAUUGCGAAGGCAGCUUACGGGAGCGCAACUGACGCUAAAGCUCGAAGGUGCGGGUAUCGAACAGG
This 424-nucleotide ribosomal RNA is filed under the name Verrucomicrobiota bacterium. RNAcentral's name for it is "Verrucomicrobia bacterium partial 16S ribosomal RNA". It matches the Rfam family "Bacterial small subunit ribosomal RNA", at positions 355 to 776 of the family's 1533-position model. The record is from RNAcentral. Lineage: Bacteria; Pseudomonadati; Verrucomicrobiota.